Long non-coding RNA from Thalassophryne amazonica, 472 nucleotides. RefSeq lists it as uncharacterized. NCBI's taxonomy places the organism in Eukaryota, Metazoa, Chordata, Actinopteri, Batrachoidiformes, Batrachoididae. The record is from RefSeq and is a predicted model, not a curated record. The transcript is spliced from 2 exons.
GUCUUCCUGUCGGGCUUCGUGCGUAUGAAGGCACUGCGCACUCGAACCUUUGGCACACCUCCACGUUAAAAACACAAGCGUCAGUCGCACCGUGACGUCCACAUGCUGCUGUGAGUCAGGACACAACAGCAGGAAAUCCCCAGGCUGAGGAAAAGGACGGGAGUUUCCUUUAAAUCGACGCUUCGUCGGUGUUUUGCCAAGAAGGAGAAAGAGAGAGAAAGAGAGAGAGCUGUGAUCAACAACAACAACAACAACAACAACAACAACACGGUUCCCAGGAGCAGCUUCUACCGGAUCAAACCUUCCGCCGGGGACUCGCUCACAAAGAGGCUGUCGGGACUGUAUCGCUCCUAUUUCCAACGUUUUAUCGUCUCUUACCCACGUUCAUUGUUGAGCGGCAUUGCGGAAGUAAAGAGGGAUUAUCAGAGAGACGACACAAAAGCUGGGGUGUGGCGACAUCUAGUGGCCAGUC